GGAAGGAUCAUUAACAAAAACAUGAAUUUAAUAAUAUAGAGAAGCUUAGUGUGAGUGUAACAGCUUGCACUAAUUUAAACUUAUAUUGGAAACAAUAUAACUAAGUGUGAAGGUUGAUAUAAACUAAAUUUUCAACGAUGGAUGUCUUGGCUCCCAUAACGAUGAAGAACGCAGCGAGAAUGCGAUAUGCAAUGUGAAUUGCAGAACUACGAAUCAUUUGAUCUUUGAACGCAAAUGGCGCUGAUUUAUGUCAGCAUACUUGUUUCAGUGUGCCUAACCAAAUAAACAACAAAAUGUAAGAGAAAACUCUCUUAUCAAAUAAAUGCUCCAAGUAGCAGUCACAUUUAUUUGUGAGCUAUUCUGGUGGAAAACUGUCUUAUUCGCACCUGAAAUCAAGUAAGAUCACCCGCUGGACUUAAGCAUAUUACUAAGCGGAGGAAAAGAAAUUAACUAAGAUUGCCUUAGUAAGGGCGACUGAACCGGCAAAAGCUCGAAAUUAAAAUCGGAAAUUCAAUGAAUUUUCGAAUUGUAAUCAGGGUGCCCAAAAUACGGGAGGUCACUCAAGAGUCUCGAAAGGCUCGCCAUAGAGGGUGCAAGCCCCGUGCAGUGAUCUCUCGAACGUGGGAACUCGAAAAAGAGUCGUGUUGCUUGGAACUGCAGCACUAAGAGGGAGAUAUGAUUCUUCCAAAGCUAAAUAUGGAUGGGAGACCGAUAGCGGACAAGUACUGUGAAGGAAAGAUGAAAAGGACUUUGAAAAGAGAGUGAAAAGAUCUGAAAUCGUUGAGAAGGAAGCUGUUAAAACUGAUCGAGGUUAUGAUGGCGCAACGCGGCCAAAAGUCGUGGAGCGUCUACCAAAGACCCUGGACAAAAUGAAGCUAGCUGGAUCAAAAAAGGCGCAAGCCGUGUAAAAUCUAGUUAGCUUAAGGGGCUAAGGCGAUUUUGUCUAAAAGGUUUUAACCGACCCGUCUUGAAACACGGACCAAGGAGUCUACCACAUAUGCGAGUGUGCGAGUGUAGAAACUCAUACGCGUAAUGAAAGUAAAAGGUGCGCAGUGUUAAAACAGCAGCAUCGACCGACCUAGUAAGAAAGGUUUGAGUAUGAGCAUAUUUGGUAGGACCCGAAAGAUGGUGAACUAUGCCUGAGUAGGGUGAAGUCAGGGGAAACCCUGAUGGAGGCUCGUAGCGGUACUAACGUGCAAAUUGUUCGUCAAACUUGGGUAUAGGGGCGAAAGACUAAUCGAACCAUCUAGUAGCUGGUUCCCUC
RNAcentral lists this unclassified non-coding RNA (1264 nucleotides) under uncultured fungus. RNAcentral describes it as "sequence contains 18S rRNA gene, ITS1, 5.8S rRNA gene, ITS2, 28S rRNA gene". The stretch from base 383 to 1264 matches the Rfam family "Eukaryotic large subunit ribosomal RNA", at positions 1 to 961 of the family's 3401-position model. The record is from RNAcentral. Lineage: Eukaryota; Fungi.